CGGGUGAGUAACGCGUAGGUAACUUGCCUAUCAGUCUGGGAUAACACUGCUAACGCGGUGCUAAUACCGGGUAUACUGCAUAGAUCGCAUGUUUUUUGCAGGAAAGCGGGCCUCUGGAACAAGCUCGUGCUGAUAGAUAGACCUGCGUUCCAUUAGUUAGUUGGUAGGGUAACGGCCUACCAAGGCAGCGAUGGGUAGCCGGCCUGAGAGGGUGACCGGCCACACUGGGACUGAGAUACGGCCCAGACUCCUACGGGAGGCAGCAGUGAGGAAUAUUGCGCAAUGGACGAAAGUCUGACGCAGCAACGCCGCGUGAGGGAUGAAGCUUUUCGGAGUGUAAACCUCUGUUAGGAGGGAAGAACGUCUAUUAUUCGAACAGGGUGAUAGAGUGACGGUACCUCCAGAGAAAGCCCCGGCUAACUCCGUGCCAGCAGCCGCGGUAAUACGGGGGGGGCGAACGUUGUCCGGAAUUAUUGGGCGUAAAGGGCGCGUAGGCGGGAAGGUCAGUCAGAGGUGAAAGCUUGUGGCUUAACUGCAAGUUUGCCUUUGAUACUGCCAUUCUUGAGUUCGGAAGAGGGAAGUGGAAUUCCUGGUGUAGCGGUGAAAUGCGUAGAUAUCAGGAAGAACACCGGUGGCGAAGGCGGCUUCCUGGUCCGAUACUGACGCUGAUGCGCGAAAGCGUGGGGAGCAAACAGGAUUAGAUACCCUGGUAGUCCACGCUGUAAGCGAUGGGUACUAGGUGUUGGGUUUAAUUACUCAGCGCCGGAGCUAACGCAUUAAGUACCCCGCCUGGGGAGUACGAUCGCAAGAUUGAAACUCAAAGGAAUUGACGGGGGCCCGCACAAGCGGUGGAGCAUGUGGUUUAAUUCGAUGCAACGCGAAGAACCUUACCUGGGCUUGAACUGUAGGUGACGUAUCCUGAAAGGGAUAUUCUCUUCGGAGCACCUAUAGAGGUGCUGCAUGGCUGUCGUCAGCUCGUGCCGUGAGGUGUUGGGUUAAGUCCCGCAGCGAGCGCAACCCCUGUUCGUAGUUGCCAGCAUUUUAGGUGGGAACUCUAGGGAGACUGCCCCGGUCAACGGGGAGGAAGGUGGGGAUGAUGUCAAGUCAUCAU
RNAcentral lists this ribosomal RNA (1111 nucleotides) under uncultured organism. RNAcentral describes it as "bacterial SSU rRNA". It matches the Rfam family "Bacterial small subunit ribosomal RNA", at positions 103 to 1196 of the family's 1533-position model. The record is from RNAcentral.